This is a long non-coding RNA of Populus euphratica (Euphrates poplar), 923 nucleotides long. RefSeq lists it as uncharacterized. NCBI's taxonomy places the organism in Eukaryota, Viridiplantae, Streptophyta, Magnoliopsida, Malpighiales, Salicaceae. The transcript is spliced from 2 exons. The record is from RefSeq and is a predicted model, not a curated record.
CAGAGAUAUCACAAUUCCAUUGCAAAUUGAUCCUGCUUUGCUUGAUGUUCUGGAAUGAAAGUUCUUGUCAAUAUGCUAUAUUCUGAUUGGAAUCCUAAAGAUGCUGCAGGAAGAUGCUGCAGGGCGAUGCUGGAGUGGUGACCACAUCCGAGCAUCUGAUCAUUAUUUCUUAAUGUUCUAAUUUUGGUGGACCACAUGAAGCUUUGUGAACAUACAGUUAGUGGAUCUCACUACCAAGUAAAACAAAGAAAACACUACAAAAAAUUAUCGUUCACAGUUAAGAAUUUAUUAGCACCCAUUUGAGUCAAACAUGGUACUUCAGCAAUAUAAGUACACUUCUGAGCAAUAGCUAUGCCAUCCACUCAUCGGCCGCCUCUGGAGCACUUCACCAGUAAACUUUAAUUACAGAGGUUGCACAAAACAUCUGAGAUCAAGGUCUGGCAGUAAUUCACUAGGAAACUUCAAUUACAAAUGGUUGCACAAUAAAUCUUCGAUCAAGGACUAAUACAAAAGUUCCUGCUACUGCCGUAGGCAGACAGUUCCACACCCAAAAGGGCUGCUAAUUUGCCUUCAAGGCAUCAUACAAGAACCAAACAAACAGUUGCGAGCUCCGAUCAGAUAAAACAUGCAAAAAUUCUAGUCGCAAUAGAAAAGCAUAAUUUUUGUUGUCCAUUUUAAAUAAUGAGAGACUGGUAAGGAUGCUUGCAAGUAACACUGUAAAUCAAAGAAAUGGAGAAUAGGCAGAAUUUUUUUUGAGUAAACUUCUGGAUUGACACAUUAAAUUAUUUGUCAAGCAAAACAUAAAUACCCAUUAAUGAAGAGCUCAUUAUAGUUAACAAACAAUAAUUAACCCAAAAUGGAAGGCACAAAUCCUCAAGUCCACCAGCACAUAAGAUAAAAAAGGAGGCAUUCAGGGAUAAAAC